This is a long non-coding RNA of Nerophis ophidion (straightnose pipefish), 2800 nucleotides long. RefSeq lists it as uncharacterized. The record is from RefSeq and is a predicted model, not a curated record. NCBI's taxonomy places the organism in Eukaryota, Metazoa, Chordata, Actinopteri, Syngnathiformes, Syngnathidae. The transcript is spliced from 4 exons.
GUCACGAGAAGGGAAUAAGAGACGGAAGGACGCGUCAAUCUGGGACUCAACAACACCUUUAGAGAAAACAUUGCCCCAAAUAUGACUUUUAAUUUAUUACUCUGUAAACUAAACGAUGUGGAACACACGAUAAGGCUGCAGUCCUCGUCCUCUUCGUCUUCCUCCUCCUCCUCGUCCCCCUCCUCCUCGCGGGGCUUCUCGGGCUCGUCGCGGUGGUGGUGAAGCUCGAUGAGCAGGUAGUAGAGGACUGCUGCGACCACGCCCCCCACCAUGGGCCCUGCCACUGGGAUCCACCACCAAUAGCCUGCCGUGCUGCAUGGAGUGGAAAACAAUUGCGAGGUGAUACUUUGGUCUCAGCGAUGGAAGCACUGUUGGACCAACAAAAACAAUUGACCUUGCCUGGUUAAGAGCAUUUGUGAACUGUUGAGCGCGAUCUACACCAGUCAUUUUUGAGGGAUUAUCAUCACACUUCAACAUCUCUGUCUUGUCAAGGCUGCCUCGUUGACUAGUAAAAUGAGGUGGCAGUUUACGUGACUCCUGGCAGACAAAGCGACACCGCACUCAAAAAGUCACUUUGCCGUAUUUUCUUAUUAGCGCAUUCACCUUGGUUAUUUUGUUUAUCAUUAUUAUGUUGGUUAAGAAUGUUUAAAAUGUGACUCAACACACCGUAUUCAAAUAUUUAUAAAUAGUUUAAUAAUGAAAACAGUUUGCCUAGUGAGUAGAACAAUUCAGUGAUUUCCCUUUCCCUAGUUAUUGUAAAUAUAAUAUCUGUUGUAAUUGGAAGCAAAAUGUCCUGCACUACAUUGUUGCAACCAGCAGAGGCGAUGUUCAGUCAGUCUCAAAAAAUCCACCAUGAUGUCAGUUAAUGGUGGUGUUUGCAGUACAUAGGUGGCAACAAAGAAACAAAAGCAUCAAGCCUGUUGAUGAAAAAAUUAUGAAAUAAAUCACAAUGCAGGGUAGAGCAAACACAAUUUUCUGGCACUAUAAUGCAGUGGCGAGCCGUGCGUUUCCCACCUAGGCCUUCAGGGAUGUCUGACUUCAAUGAUUACUUCUCAAAAUACCACCAUUUACAUCACCACAUGACCAUUACUGAAGAAACACUAUACAGCAACACAUUUACGCCCUACUUAACAUUGAAACACAUCAACAGUGUACAAAACGGGUUAUUUUGUGGCGCAUUUAAAAAACAAUUAAAACGCAUCAGCAAUUAAAACAUAUCUUAUGGGGUACUGUCAAAAUUAAAAUUGCAAAUAACAUAUUAAAAGUUGAAAAAAUUCAAUAUUUGAACUCACAAUUUAUAAAACCUUUUUGACGCCGUAUAAGCCAGUGGUACCUCUUGUCGUCGGCUUAUUCGAGUGGCCCCAUUUCAUCGCCAGAACAGCUGAGCUAGCUUCUAGGGUUGGCCGACAUUGUCUCACAAGAAAUAGACUCUCUUUAAAUAUCUUUCUUAAAAAUGGCUUUGCAAAUAUAUAUCUGUCACCUAAUCAAGGUUUUGUUCUCCUUCUCUGCUAUCCCUUGCUACGGCGCAACACUUCCUGCUUCCUGCUAAAUUUAAACUUGUGAAUGGAUACUCACUUUUGAAUGACAAGUGAGUAUCCAAUCACAGUCUUGUUAACAUCAGGCUACUUCGAUAGGCUACUGUCAACAAUUUGUGAUCUGAUUGGCCGUCACAACUGUCUCUCAACUAUAUGAGUUCUCAAAUUCAUCCGCUAACGGUCCCCAUGAGUAUCCACUCACAGGACGCGUAAGUGUCACUUUAAAACAUUGGGCCAGCUAGAAGGCCUUACUGACAACAGCUCGCGAUCUGAUUGGCUAUCCCAAUUAUCUAUCACCUGUAUGUACAUAAACAUAUGUUUCUUAUUGCAAGUUUGUUCUUAAAUAAGAUAGUGAACAUACAAGACAACUUGUCUUUUAGUAGUAAGUAAGCAAACAAAGGCUCUAAUUUAGCUGCUUACAUAUGCAGUAACAUUUUGUGUCAUUUAUCAUUCUAUUAUGUUGUCAACAUUGUUAAGGACAAGUGGUAGAAAAUGAAUUAUUAAUCUUCUUGUUCAUUUACUGUUAAUAUCUGCUUUUUUUCUCUUUUGUCAUGUUCUAGCUACACUUCUGUUAAGAUGUAAUAAUCACUUGUUCUGCUGUUGUUUGGAUGCUUUGCAUUAGUUUUGGAUGACACCACAAAUUUGGGUAUCAAUCCGAUACCAAGUCGUUAUAGGAUCAUACUUUGGUCGUAUUUAAAGUCCUCAUGUGUCCUGGGACAUAUUUCGUGAGUUUAUAAACAAAAUAUAAACUUUAAAAAAACAAAAGAAAAUGUUAUGAUGCCUAAAAAUAUAAUCAUAGUAGUAUCAACUAGAUACGCUCAUGUACUUGGUAUCAUUACAGUGGAUGUUAGGUGUAGAUCCACCAUUGGCGUUUGUUUCCAUUCUGAUGCCGGUGAGCUACGGUGUGUAGUGAAGCACGCUGCUCCCAAGCUCUGGAACGACCUACCUCUGAGUGUUAGACAAGCCUCCUCUCUUCCUGUUUUUAAAUCUCUCUUAAAAACAUACUUUUAUUCUUUGGCUUUUAACACUAAGUGAUAUCCAUCCUGCAAUGUCGCCCCAUUAUACACCUGCUGUGAACCUGUUUUUAUGGUUUUAUGUUUUAUUUAUUUAUUUUUAUCAUGUUCUGUUUGUGUUGUGUUGUUUGCUUGGUCCUCGUAUUAUCUUUUAACCUGUCCAUUGUACAGCACUUUGGCUACCCCUGUGGUAAAUUUUAAAUGUGCUUUAUAAAUAAAGUUGAUUUGAUUUGAUUUGAUUUGAUGUUUAGC